AACGGUCCUAAGGUAGCGAAAUUCCUUGUCGGGUAAGUUCCGACCCGCACGAAAGGCGUAACGAUUUGGGCACUGUCUCAACAACAGACUCGGUGAAAUUGUAAUUCCGGUGAAGAUGCCGGAUACCUGCGACAGGACGGAAAGACCCCAUGGAGCUUUACUGUAGCUUGACAUUGGGUCUUGGUACUACAUGUACAGGAU
RNAcentral lists this ribosomal RNA (201 nucleotides) under Clostridioides difficile. Its description in RNAcentral is "partial 23S ribosomal RNA". It matches the Rfam family "Bacterial large subunit ribosomal RNA", at positions 1944 to 2144 of the family's 2925-position model. Lineage: Bacteria; Bacillati; Bacillota; Clostridia; Peptostreptococcales; Peptostreptococcaceae. The record is from RNAcentral.